GGAAAUGAAACUCGUCGGCGCAUCACAGGGGGGUAGGAUGAUGUGAAUGUGACUGGUUAUAUAAAAGUAUAGGGCACAGUUGGAAAGAGCCUGGUGGGACGAUGGUUGUCAUUUUUAAGACAAACGAGCUUAUCGUCUGCCUCUGGAAAUUACACUCCUGCAUGACCUUGUGAACUUGCCUGCCGCGUGACCUCGAAAAUUCCCUCUAACGGCUCCCCGAACACCCCUCCACAUCCCUGGGCUCAUUUGUGCAGGCUGUUACCCAGGCAGGAAGUGACAUCAACGGGUCCAAACUAAAAAUAUGUCGCAGGACGGGCUGUCUAGGAUGUCCAGGACCGGUGUUUGUAAAGGAGGAUGCUUGCACCGGCUCCCACAAAGUGAUGCUCAUUGAAGGAUGCAGGAGAGCGCCACACAGGCGAGACAGACAGACGCACUGGAGGCUGAAUACUGAUUGUCUUCCGAGUGGCUUCCUUGGUCUGGUUGGAUCUGACUGACACCUGCAGUCCUAGAUGGCAUCAAACCAGCCGUCCAAACCACUGGUCCUCUUGUUCCUCUGUCUCAUCUAUCUCUAUCCCUGCAGCUCCUGGCUAUCUUCACCCUCUAUGGCUCCUUCAUGAUGGCCCCCUAAUCUCUGCCAGUGUAGUUCCAUGUAUGCAUUGCAAGGCGGCUGUGUAAUCAAGCCUGUGAACUCAACAUCUGAAGGAAGGAUUCUGUUUCUGAUCACAUCCCUAUUGAAGUCCAUCCAUUCACUGAACAUGGAUGCGUUGACUCACUCAAGCUUGCCCUCCUUGAAUAUUCCAUAUCUGGGGGGCCAUGAAUAAUGCCAAGGAGUCUGAGAGAAAAAAAGACCAGCCUAUCACCACGCAGCUGCACUCCUGCGCAGUGAAGCCGUCAAGCCAUUAGCAAGUCCCAGCACUGAUAAUGAAGCCACAGAGGUGGUCUGAGUCAGGGUGGCGCAGGAGCUGGAGCACAGGAGGAAGGUAGAUUAGGAUAAUUACCUGGCCAUGGGGGCAGGAUGAGAAAGGUGCCUCACUUCCUGCAGGCCUCAGUCGGCGAAGGGGCACAGUAUAAUCAGGUGUCCUCCUUCUCCCUCGCACAUCUGCGUGGUCUGCAGGCCCUCUGGGGGCACCUGGCUCCCCUCCCUGCCAUUGCUGGCCUGAUCGAUUGGCGAGACCAUCCCAACACAGAGAGCAGAGGUCAGCUUCAAAGGCCUCCUGCCCACUUCCUGUCACCUGGUGUUCCAUUUCGGACGAAGGGUACAUUUCCUUUCCAUUCCCUCCAUACUCUGCUGCCCUUCUGCAAACAGGUUAAGGACGUGGAGUGUGUACGGCUCCUCCCUGUGAUCUACUUCAGCCUCCUCCCCAGUCGCCCACACGGGGAGAGAGGUACAUUAGCAGAUCUCAGUAUGUCCGCUACUCUUGUGAACAGGGAUGAGAAGGAGAUAGAGGGAGAGGAAAUAAAGGUCUGAUGAGUUUGGCAAAGAGAGGAUGGAGGCUGAGACAGAUGGCAUGAAGUCUGCAGCACUCUGGCGUGGCUCGCCUGGUGCUAAAAUCCUCCUCUCUCACAUUCCAACAAAUCCUACCAGGAGGCUGGGGAGUCUGUCACACCACUCCAAGGAUCCACACAGCUCUCUUCACCCCCCACCCCCCCACCCCCACCACCACCACCCCCACCACCCCCCAACAACCCCCACCCCCAGCCGGGCCUCUGACCACUCCGUAUCAGAUUCCUGCCAUUUUAUCCUCACAUAUGUAUACAUUCACACAUUAACAUGUAUAGAGGUGGGCCAUUUGGACCUUUACAGGCCUGGGAAGAUAAGAAGCACCAGGGGGUGAAGAUAUGAAGAGACGCCGUCUGACUGCUCUUAUGGAAAAGGAACCGAGGGGGCUUAAUUGAGAGAGGUGGCCUUUACUGUCACUCCAGUGUAAAAAAUCUUAUUCAGUAAACACUGGGCCAAAUCGUGAGGGAAAGACUGAACAAUCCAUUUAUAUCAGAGGCAGAAGACAUAAGAAGCUUUUUGAUUAGUUUCACCACAGCCCGCAUCAGCCCAUGCUCUUGAACAGAAACACUGUAGCCCAAUCUCAAUCCAAACAUACACUGCUCAGACCCAUAUUUCAAGGCUCCCUGUGGGCCUUACAAUCCAAAGUGGACAGUAAGUGUAACUAUGAUUACACACAUAGCACAAGAGCAGCAACUGGAUCAGGGGCUCCGCAUGACAUCUUCAUCUCCAAAUACCGUACCAUUGAUAUCCUUUGAAUUUCUGAAGCAUGCUUUCUUUCACCAUCUCAAAGUGGUUCAUCUAAUAAGAACAAACUAAUUUAUUUUACACUAUGCUCUCUCCCCACGCCUCUUCCUCACUGUCUUCCUGCCUGCCUUCUGUUUGUUCUAAUGAAUGACUUCUGAGAUGAGGUGCUGCUGUGAGGAGGUGACAGGGGGCUUCAGAAUCACAUUACUGUUAAUGAUAAUAAAAAGAACAAUCUGUGCUAAACCUCUUGGAUGUUUCCUUUUCUCGUCCCAUAUGGAAUGAAUAUUUUAUCUGCUAUUGUUUUGAAUAUCUUUACAUGUUUGAAUUGAAGCCUGUGCAAUUAAAAUGCACACUAAAUAUUGUUUUGUGUUUUUUUUUUUCACGCAAGCACUGCCUAUUGACAAAAAAGGCUGCUCUGAUAAAAGAUAUACAGUGGUGCACCAUCUGGGUUACAAAGCAUACCACCAAGCACACAACAUCAGGCACAUCUUAGCUACAUGGUGCUGCAUGAGGAAAUAUAUUCCCUACGGUAACAUUUUAAGUGCACAACGAAUGCCAAGAACAGUCAAAAUGCAAACACAACUUCUAACAUACGACAAGGGUUCUGCAGGAGUUGGGCUUUAUUGAUGUGACUUCAACUUUUUACAGACAAAAGGUUACAGGAGUUCUCAGCAUUUAGUCCAACUCCAUUCAACUUAAAUUGAAGCAAUUAAAUGGGAUGUGUUUCUAAAAAACAAAGCUGUCAAAGCACGCGUUUGAUGGAUGACAACUUCCCUUAUGUUUACAUGACAUGUAGGUUCAACACAAACCCUAACAAGCACAACAUACUUACAACUCGGUAUAAUGGAAAUGGAAAAACUCAUAUUGAAAAAGUUUUGAGCUGAAAACACGAACCACAAAACAAUAUACGUAGCGUCUGCGGAUGACUAUGAACGAGCUUCCACGCUGGCGAAGGCCGUCAUAUCAGCAGCUACUCGGCACCAAAGUAUUUGCCGGGGUUGUUUACAUGGCUCUGACAUUCACAAGCAGAUCAUCACUGACUUUCCCUCCUACCACCACAGAGAUAGAGUUGCUGGCCGUCCUUCCUACAUGGCAGGGCAGCGUGGUGUCCCCAGGCUCAUUGGCACUGCAGCUGUCACCCACAGGAUGGGAAAGUGGCAGGGUCGAUGGCUCCACGGCAUGGCUUCUGGCAGCAACCCUCCCAUCCUGGCCCAGUGAAAGGGCAGGGAUGGGGAGCCCUGUCUCUCAGUACAUUGAUCAAGGGCCAGCCCUCCAUUAGCCAUCGUCAGAGCUAAAGGUCAGCUAAGGCCAACGGAUGGGUCCUGUGUGCGCAUCCUAUGGUGUGACUCAUUCUCACACCCGGGGAGCGAGUCCUUGUCGCUUUGGUCUGUACUGCCCCCUACUCCUGGUGGCCACAUGAGGAUGUCCAUAGCUCUCAGAAUAGUUACCCCCUCCCUGAUGGGUUGAUGCAUCCUGCGGGCUAAACUCGCUCAAAUAUCCCUUUUCUUUUUUUUUUUGUUUGAUGUCAGCCACAUUAUGCAUUAUUGUUGCUUUUAGAGAUAUUACUAUCUCCUGCCAAAUUAAAAGAGCCUUCCUUCUAAUUUUCUCCAACAGAAAUUGCUUAAUAAAUGAGCAGGCCCUGAUUUGCACUGAUGAUCACAACAACACAAUUGCAUCAAAUUGCUCACCCAGAGAUGAUGCACCACAUCGUGCUCAUCACUCAGUGACAACUACUGCCUGGUGUGGUUUACAUUAAUGCAGCCAGGCUGUGAAAGGGGAUAAUUGUGGUGCUAAAUGCUGUAGAGGCUGACAGGAUCCAUUUCUUGACUUGUCAAGGGCAGCAGUGACAGAGAGGGCUGUGCUGGGGUCUUUACACACACUGGCAGAUGAGCUUAUUUGCACCAACACGCGUGCACACAUGUGGGCACAUGAAUACACACAUAGGCAGGCAAAAUCAGCCACACACCACAUAGAGAUGAUUGUCUCUUGCCUCUGUCAGGUUGUAUUUUUUUUUCUCCAGCCAUGGAGGCCUCAUCCUGGGAAAUUGAGCAAUUUCUGAUUGAAAACAAUGCCGGUAAUUAGAGCACUCACUAUUUGUAACCACUUGGCAUUGCAUUAGUAUGCAAAGCUGGCAGCCAGCUUAUCUUGGGGAAAACGUUUGUUUCCUUAAUUGCCCUCUUAGGACAAAUGUGAAGGGGGGGUGGGGGUGAGGGGGGCGGGGAGGGGAGAGAGUAAAAUGUUAACGUGCUGCAGUAAGAAUGGAGCCUGGUGUGUUGAGGGGAUGUGACUCCCUGAACACAGGGGUUAAACUCCACUAAUAGGCUGCAUACAACACACAUGGGCACAGACACACACACACACACACACACACACACACACACACAUGAGCACAGAGUAACAGUGGAGCACUCAUACACCCACAUAUGGGCACACACUUGCAUUGGCACAUGGGCACAUGGAGGCACACACAAAAAGACAACUAUGAUGAGCGCACACAUUCCAGGACACACACAAUUAGGCACAAUUAACUCCAUAGACAUACUGUAAAAUUAGACAUUAGUAAGAAGAACUAUUCACCACACUAAUGAAUUAAAUGGCCCUUUCUUUAAAUAAAGAGUCCAUCAGGAUGUAAAGCAGGGAAUGAGCUUUCUUCAGCUCACCUUUGUAGUUGUUUCUCAAACAUAUGGAGUUUGUAUUUCACCUGCUGGUAUCAAACUUGCGACAAAAUUAUUCAUCAUCGCUUGUCGUCUAUAGAAUGUAAAGCUUUACAUUUACACACAACUUCCACUUCAUGUAUGUAGUUAAGAGUGUUAAAUCUGUAAACAGCUCACUCUUACACUCUGUCUGACUUCUCUUGGUUCUUCUCUUAUUGUCACUUGCAGAUGGGAGGCAGAGACGAGUCUAUCACAUCCAAAUCUGCAGGAUUUUGCUGGUUGGUCUUCUUUUCCUUGUCACGGAGUGAUGGACACAAGAAGCUUAACUGGACCCUGUGACUCAUGAGGCAUUGUACUUUGAAGAAGUUGCAGAAUUACUAUGAUUUCCCGAGAUUGUUGGACAGGAGACUCUGUAUCUCGGAGGACCAGACACGGAGACGUGAGCAGCUGAGGAGUCAUGUGGAGCUGCGGUUGCUUCUGCAGGUGAGCGUCGCGUCGCAGGGGGGCGGAGGAUCUCCUCUCGCCGUCAUAAGCAUAAAACAAGAUUACUAGAUCUUUAUCACCGAGCACCCCACCACCACCACCACCACCACCACCUCACAGAACUGCAACUUCACAAUCUCGUCUUCAGAUGGGGAAUGUUGCAUAAUGAGCAGGAAAUGAAUUAUAAGUUGUUGUUUGUUUUUUGGAGGGGGGGAUAUUUUAAACUGAAAUGAAUAAGUCAUAAAUAAACUUCUCUGCAUCUGCGUGUUUUCAAGGGGGUUUUCAUUCCUUUAACAAAAGAGCAAGUGAGCUUGUUUAUGUAAAUGAACCAGGAGAUGCAUUUUUAAACCUGGGCUUGAUAUCUUUGUUUUGCAUGCUAUACCUGCAGAAGAAGAACAAGAAGAGGCUGCUAACAUUUACCAGAUGUUAAAAAUAACACCUUUGUCUUAUAAACAAAAAAAUAUAUGACUGAUCACAACUUAAAUCUAGAUAUGAGGUUUUUAAGUGUUGUCUCUCUUACAGGAGUGAACACUGGCAGAAGUUUGUACAUUCUGCUUGUCAUGGUGCUGCCUGAAUUUAACUUCCCUGUAUCUUUAAUUUGUAGUCACCAGGAAUGAAAGGCUGAGUCUCAGCACUGGCAGCUCCCAUGUCAGUCUUUGCAGGAGUGGGUGACAGAGAACAGCAGAGGCAGAUAGCAUGCUAAAAUCGCAUCACUAGAGACCCCACAUCAAAGUAGACCAAACCUCACAUUGAGUGAACUUUUAAGCCAGAAAGAGUGUGUGACAUCAGAGCACCUAAAAUGUGACUGUCAUGUUUUUCAAACUUGGCUGAACACAGGCUCAAAGACUUGAGAAGUAUUCAAUGGCAAGCUCUGUUCAAACACGCACACUAAGAUUAGCAGUCUUUGUCUUACAGGAACCUCAAAGACCAAUUAGACUGAGAGAUGGGUGUGACGAAUUUGUCAAAAAUAAGAUGAUAGAUAUCACUUUGGCAGUGAGCAAACAUGGCUGGGGAUUUCACUCAAGCACAGUCAUUGACAAGGCACUGUCAGGAAAUGUGUCAUCUUCAGCAGACCUGCCAGUUGACAAGGAUGCAGUUUGGGAUUGAGACUGAUCAAUUCCCAAACUGCCAGCAAGACAUGGCUCUGAUAGUGGCACUUGAUUUUGUGAAGUAAAAAAAAAAAAAAAAAAAGUACUAUUUGCUUGGAUAUAGUGUCAACUUUUUAUUUGCAUCACAAGUCUGUUCCGUCCCAAGAUACAGGAGAGACUGUGUGCAGCAAAUUUUAGACAAGAAAAAAACCCCCCAAAAAACCAGAGUGUCAUAUUUAUCUGGGGUUUCAAAACUUUAAGAGCAGAGCUUUCACCUUCCCACAUUUAUGUUUGGACACACUCACGGAAGUGCCAUACUGUGCACAUGUCUGAUUUUGUUGUUUAAUGUACACCAAUUCAAUACGUCUAAUACUUGAGCUUGUCUUCGGCCACUAUUUCAACAGUGAAAUCUGAUACUCAAAGCAUUUUCCUCUUCAAAGUAGUAUCCUGUUGUGCUUUGCGACCACAAUAGUGUCAAUCUCAUACUUUCAAAGCCUCAUCUCUGUGUCAGCUUUGAGUAGCUGUCUAUACAUGUCUCCGAAUAGAGUUGGGGCUUUGAUGGCUGGUCUGAAAACAGGUGGGAACAUUAUGACAAAAUCUAAAAUGGGAAAAACUAUUUCUAUUGAUGUGGCUGCAAAUGAAAUUUGACCUUUGAUUUGUGGAAUUGCUUUCAUAAGCAAAAAAAAAAAAAAAAGUUGUGUUUGAUUGUUA
Molecule: RNA transcript, 7181 nt
Organism: Seriola aureovittata
Lineage: Eukaryota; Metazoa; Chordata; Actinopteri; Carangiformes; Carangidae
Exons: 11
Source: RefSeq, a predicted model, not a curated record